RNAcentral lists this small RNA (87 nucleotides) under Arabidopsis thaliana (thale cress). Its description in RNAcentral is "ATSL281770". Lineage: Eukaryota; Viridiplantae; Streptophyta; Magnoliopsida; Brassicales; Brassicaceae. The record is from RNAcentral.
CUAUAUCUUCUUCUUCUUCUGCUACUCAGUUUCUCUCUCAUGGUCUUCGUCUCUUUCUCUCCACUUUCCUCUCACAUCUCUUCGUCU